AUUGAACGCUGGCGGCAGGCCUAACACAUGCAAGUCGAGCGGAUGAAGGGAGCUUGCUCCUGGAUUCAGCGGCGGACGGGUGAGUAAUGCCUAGGAAUCUGCCUGGUAGUGGGGGAUAACGUCCGGAAACGGGCGCUAAUACCGCAUACGUCCUGAGGGAGAAAGUGGGGGAUCUUCGGACCUCACGCUAUCAGAUGAGCCUAGGUCGGAUUAGCUAGUUGGUGGGGUAAGGGCCUACCAAGGCGACGAUCCGUAACUGGUCUGAGAGGAUGACCAGUCACACUGGAACUGAGACACGGUCCAGACUCCUACGGGAGGCAGCAGUGGGGAAUAUUGGACAAUGGGCGAAAGCCUGAUCCAGCCAUGCCGCGUGUGUGAAGAAGGUCUUCGGAUUGUAAAGCACUUUAAGUUGGGAGGAAGGGCAGUAAGUUAAUACCUUGCUGUUUUGACGUUACCAACAGAAUAAGCACCGGCUAACUUCGUG
This 484-nucleotide ribosomal RNA is filed under the name uncultured bacterium. RNAcentral's name for it is "partial 16S ribosomal RNA". It matches the Rfam family "Bacterial small subunit ribosomal RNA", at positions 30 to 507 of the family's 1533-position model. The record is from RNAcentral.